CUGGUGGCUCACACCUGUAAUCCUAGCUACUUCAGGAGGCUGAGAUCUGAGGAUCACACUUUGAAGCCAGCCUAGGCAGGGAAGUCCAAGAGAUUCUUAGUUCCAAUUGACUACCAGAAAAGUGGAAGUGGUACUGUGGCUCAAGUGGUAG
This is a long non-coding RNA of Perognathus longimembris pacificus (Pacific pocket mouse), 151 nucleotides long. RefSeq lists it as uncharacterized. The transcript has 3 exons. Lineage: Eukaryota; Metazoa; Chordata; Mammalia; Rodentia; Heteromyidae. The record is from RefSeq and is a predicted model, not a curated record.